AACGAACGCUGGCGGCAGGCCUAACACAUGCAAGUCGAGCGCCCAGCAAUGGGAGCGGCAGACGGGUGAGUAACACGUGGGAACCUUCCCUAUAGUACGGAAUAGCCCAGGGAAACUUGGAGUAAUACCGCAUACGCCCGAGAGGGGAAAGAUUUAUCGCUAUAGGAUGGGCCCGCGUAGGAUUAGCUAGUUGGUGAGGUAAUGGCUCACCAAGGCGACGAUCCUUAGCUGGUCUGAGAGGACGACCAGCCACACUGGGACUGAGACACGGCCCAGACUCCUACGGGAGGCAGCAGUGGGGAAUAUUGGACAAUGGGCGCAAGCCUGAUCCAGCCAUGCCGUGUGAGUGAUGAAGGCCUUAGGGUUGUAAAGCUCUUUUGCCGGGGACGAUAAUGACGGUACCCGGAGAAUAAGUCCCGGCUAACUUCGUGCCAGCAGCGCG
RNAcentral lists this ribosomal RNA (442 nucleotides) under uncultured bacterium. Its description in RNAcentral is "bacterial SSU rRNA". It matches the Rfam family "Bacterial small subunit ribosomal RNA", at positions 29 to 519 of the family's 1533-position model. The record is from RNAcentral.